Hyposmocoma kahamanoa is the source of this 2283-nucleotide long non-coding RNA. RefSeq lists it as uncharacterized. The record is from RefSeq and is a predicted model, not a curated record. NCBI's taxonomy places the organism in Eukaryota, Metazoa, Arthropoda, Insecta, Lepidoptera, Cosmopterigidae. The transcript has 3 exons.
CGGACCUGUCCUGUUUAAUAACGCUUCGGUUUUACAGGACGCGUCUGUUGAAUUGGCUUUCAACAUUUGGAAAUGGAAGUAAUCUUCACAUUAUUUAAAGCCAAAAAAGAGCGAGGAUAUUGAGUCACUAUAUCAUAACGUUGUGUUCAUUGCUUGUGACGCUGUAAAUGUCGUCCUGUAAACACAAAGGCAGUGUCGCUAUUAACAAAGUUCCCCAAAACGUCGUGGUCGGAACCAGCAAAAUGUAAUGCUGUCGACUCAACAACGUGAACCUAUGGUAUUAUACCACGGCUAGAAUAGCCACCGUUGUCGUUUACGACUACUGCACCGCUCCAGCCUUCCUAGUUGCCUAGGGCUUGGACGGAAACCACAACCCAUUGACCCGGCGUUCCCCGAUACGUACCAGAACCCCGGCGCUGCCAUAUAGGGAAGACCCCGCAGCCGCCACCGUGUCCAGGGGAGUAUUAACUACGGAAGUGAAAUCAGACUGAAAGUUAGGGCCCUUCGAACCACGGUUAUUAAAUUUUUAAAUAAACACUUUUUAUUUAUUUGUUGUUGACUAAUCGUAUUUACUUGCCACAUCUUGGGUACGAACGUCUCAGUAUGACGUUAUUAUUUUGUUUUUACUAUGUUGUUUUAAGUGAAUUUAAUGAUUAAACCACUUCUAUUAUUGACAUAAUCUCAAAGUAAUAUGUGCAAAGUACGAAAUCGACAGUAUAAACAAGGUAUAAACACGUGUUGAUGUUGCAAUUAAUUCCGCUCGAAAUGAUCACAAAAGCGUUGGUAACUGCGUUAGUAUUAUAUGUAUAUCAGCCCAUUCACAAAUAAGCAUUAAAUAUAAAAAAAAGCAUUAUACAAAAUAUGUAUAUUAUAAUCUCGCGUCAAAGUCGUUCAACAUGUCUGAUUUUCAUUAAUCAAAGUGCACAACAUUGUUCCAAUAAUGCAACUGUUUGGCCACAAGGAUCAGCAGCGAAGACUAUCGGUGAUGGCGAAGGCCACGCGCAGCUUGACCCACACAAUAGGUUUCCAUAAUUAACUAAAUGAAGACCGACAAUCACCAGAAGUGCUCCCUCAGCCGAACAAAGGGCAGACAAAGAUGAUGCUCGGCCAAUUUAUGCGAAUAAUGGGACGAGCCUGUUCGCCAUUUGUAUGUGAAGGAAAUACACCGCCUAUUGUGCUUGGGAUUUUUUGUUCAACUUCGGGUGGAAUUAAUUGUGCCAGCUUAGUUUACAGUGCGUAUGAAUAGUGACGGUAGGCGUCGCUUUGUGCUCCGGUCUAUGAAUAUGUUAUGGCAGCACCGCCGAGGACGUUUCUUCACGUCUCCCAUUGUUAGCCCGCGGAGUAGUGAAUUCUGCGAACUGCUCAAUCGAUGUGCAAAUCCACAAAAACUUUCGCUUCACUCUAUUAAAGCAUAUUAUAGGCGAUGAGUAUAAAUCCCAGAUUACAAAACUGUAUCUUAGGAAAAUAAUUGUAUUAUCACCAUUAAAAUACGUCAAAGCUAAAUAGAAGUGGGAUAUCAAGCAACCGUUGUCGAAAACAAUUGACUCGCUGGAGUGAUUAAGAAAAUCACGUUCGAUUGUAUUCGGUCGGUUAAUGAAGUCGCUUUGUGGAGUCGCUCCAUUAACGGGCGCGCGCCCCGUGUGUAUCUCAUUGUGGCCAGACCCAGUGACCUAGUGCUGUGUCGGACGUCGAGUGCCGAACGCCGGGGCUCGGCGUAAGUUUCUUCGAUGCUUCAGGCAUUGCGUUCUGUUCCCUUGUGUUGAACAUAAAGCAUAGAGUUGAUGAUUAUUUAUUGCUUAAGUAAUCAAUUUCAGAAUGGCCCGAACUCGCACGUAGACAUGAUUAGGUAGUAUUUUAGUAAACCUUUCAUUGGUUUACAUUAUACAAACCAUUAACAUCACUGUAAUGUAACAUAUGUUUCAUAAUUUUAGGCUAAAUUUUACAUUCAAAGCAAGAAUAUAGAAUCCUUACAAAUCUAAUACAGGCACAAGACAUAACUAAAUUACUUACGGUUAAGUCUGCCGGAAAACAAAUUGGACACCUCCGAAAUGAGCGGAUGAGGCUUAUCGUUGUCCGGCGCCGCACGAGGCUCAAGCCGUCAGCCAUCGAUCAAUCAGCGCUUGUGUCGCAUUUGCCCUUUUCCCGAUCAUAUCUCCGAUUGGUCGUCGGUAUCGGCUCACUUAUUUGAAAAGUUUUGACUUGAAGUAAUGUAUACCGUUAAAUAAUGUACACGUUAACUAUGUAUUAAAUUCAAAUUCUGUAAAUAAUUAAAUAGCACUUCGU